This 505-nucleotide small RNA is filed under the name Oryza sativa Japonica Group (Japanese rice). Its description in RNAcentral is "sRNA Os06g0268900". Lineage: Eukaryota; Viridiplantae; Streptophyta; Magnoliopsida; Poales; Poaceae. The record is from RNAcentral.
CACCAUUGACCGUUGGCCUAGGCAGUGGCUUGGCUGUCGCCAUUUGCCAUCUCGCGAUGCUACUUGAUGUCACACACUGUGAAGCUAAGGUAGCCCUAGUUGUUCCUUCUUAGGAUACACUUCUAUUCUGGACGUUUAACUAUUUGUUACUUUCAACCAAACAAGUACAAUCUCAUUAACAAUAUACUCUCUCACAAAGUGACAGAUUAUUUGCCACUCACGAUCCUCUGAAGUGGCAAAGGUUAAAAAAAAAUAUCUCUUCCUCGUCUCAACUCUCAACCUAUAUAUCUUCCCACUCCUACCUUACGUUAGAAUCCAAUCUUAGUUUGUCGUCUAGGAAGAAGGUUUUGGUUGACUAAAAUGAGAAAUGCCAUGGUUAUUGUAGUUGGUGGGCACAGGUUAAACAUUGGGAGUUCAACGAAUUAGUGUACAGAGAAGAGGCAUAUGGAGGUUGAACAUGUUACAAGAAACCAAUGAUAAUAUCAGUUGCCUAAAAAAAAGCUAU